AACGAACGCUGGCGGCAGGCCUAACACAUGCAAGUCGAGCGAGGACUUCGGUCCUAGCGGCGGACGGGUGAGUAACGCGUGGGAACGUGCCCUUUGCUUCGGAAUAGCCCUGGGAAACUGGGAGUAAUACCGGAUGAGCCCUUUGGGGGAAAGAUUUAUCGGCGAAGGAUCGGCCCGCGUUGGAUUAGGUAGUUGGUGGGGUAGUGGCCUACCAAGCCGACGAUCCAUAGCUGGUUUGAGAGGAUGAUCAGCCACACUGGGACUGAGACACGGCCCAGACUCCUACGGGAGGCAGCAGUGGGGAAUCUUAGACAAUGGGGGAAACCCUGAUCUAGCCAUGCCGCGUGAGCGAUGAAGGCCUUAGGGUUGUAAAGCUCUUUCAGCUGGGAAGAUAAUGACGGUACCAGCAGAAGAAGCCCCGGCUAACUCCGUG
This 433-nucleotide ribosomal RNA is filed under the name uncultured bacterium. Its description in RNAcentral is "partial 16S ribosomal RNA". It matches the Rfam family "Bacterial small subunit ribosomal RNA", at positions 29 to 507 of the family's 1533-position model. The record is from RNAcentral.